This 30-nucleotide ribosomal RNA is filed under the name Jatropha curcas. RNAcentral's name for it is "partial 25S ribosomal RNA". Lineage: Eukaryota; Viridiplantae; Streptophyta; Magnoliopsida; Malpighiales; Euphorbiaceae. The record is from RNAcentral.
GCGACCCCAGGUCAGGCGGGCUUACCCGCU